RNAcentral lists this ribosomal RNA (203 nucleotides) under Stenotrophomonas maltophilia. RNAcentral's name for it is "partial 23S ribosomal RNA". It matches the Rfam family "Bacterial large subunit ribosomal RNA", at positions 819 to 1020 of the family's 2925-position model. Lineage: Bacteria; Pseudomonadati; Pseudomonadota; Gammaproteobacteria; Lysobacterales; Lysobacteraceae. The record is from RNAcentral.
GAGUGAAAAGCUAAUCGAACCCGGAGAUAGCUGGUUCUCCUCGAAAGCUAUUUAGGUAGCGCCUCAUAUGUAUCCUCUCGGGGGUAGAGCACUGUUAUGGCUAGGGGGUCAUCGCGACUUACCAAACCAUUGCAAACUCCGAAUACCGAGACGGACUGUAUGGGAGACACACGGCGGGUGCUAACGUCCGUCGUGAAAAGGGA